Molecule: ribosomal RNA, 160 nt
Filed under: uncultured bacterium
Lineage: Bacteria
Description: partial 16S ribosomal RNA
Rfam family: Bacterial small subunit ribosomal RNA
Source: RNAcentral
UAAUGGCAGGUCAGCAUACUGCCGUGAAUACGUUCCCGGGCCUUGUACACACCGCCCGUCACACCAUGAGAGUUGGGAAUACCCGAAGCCUGUGAGCCAACAAACGAGGCAGCAGUCGAAGGUAGAAUCAAUGAUUGGGGUGAAGUCGUAACAAGGUACC